CCUACGGGUGGCUGCAGUGGGGAAUAUUGCACAAUGGGGGAAACCCUGAUGCAGCGACGCCGCGUGAGCGAUGAAGGAGUUCGGUAUGUAAAGCUCUAUCAGCAGGGAAGAAAAGGACGGUACCUGACUAAGAAGCCCCGGCUAACUACGGGCCAGCAGCCGCGGUAAUACGUAGGGGGCAAGCGUUCUCCGGAUUGACGGGGGGUAAAGGGAGCGUAGCCGGUCCGGCAAGCCAGAUGUGAAAGCCCGGGGCCCAACCCCGGGACUGCAUUUGGAACUGUAAGGCUAGAGUGUCGGAGAGGCCGGCGGAUUUCCUAGUGUAGCGGUGAAAUGCGUCGCUAUUAGGAGGAACCCCAGUGGCGAAGGCGGCCUGCUGGACGAUGACUGCCGUUGAGGCUCGACAGCGUGGGGAGCAAACAGGCUUAGAUACCCUGGUAGUC
This 440-nucleotide ribosomal RNA is filed under the name uncultured bacterium. RNAcentral describes it as "partial 16S ribosomal RNA". It matches the Rfam family "Bacterial small subunit ribosomal RNA", at positions 338 to 795 of the family's 1533-position model. The record is from RNAcentral.